RNAcentral lists this ribosomal RNA (551 nucleotides) under uncultured Diversisporaceae. RNAcentral describes it as "SSU rRNA". It matches the Rfam family "Eukaryotic small subunit ribosomal RNA", at positions 548 to 1098 of the family's 1831-position model. Lineage: Eukaryota; Fungi; Glomeromycota; Glomeromycetes; Diversisporales. The record is from RNAcentral.
UUGGAGGGCAAGUCUGGUGCCAGCAGCCGCGGUAAUUCCAGCUCCAAUAGCGUAUAUUAAAGUUGUUGCAGUUAAAAAGCUCGUAGUUGAACUUCGGGGUUUACCCAUUGGUCAGGCUUAAUUGUCUGUACUGGUGAGAUAAAUCUCUACCUUCUGAGGAACUUUCAUGCCAUUUAUUUGGUGUGAUGGGAAAUCAGGACUGUUACUUUGAAAAAAUUAGAGUGUUUAAAGCAGGCUAACGUCUGAAUACAUUAGCGUGGAAUAAUGAAAUAGGACGGACUGAUUCUAUUUCGUUGGUUUCUAGGAUCACCGUAAUGAUUAAUAGGGAUAGUUGGGGGCAUUAGUAUUCAAUUGUCAGAGGUGAAAUUCUUGGAUUUAUUGAAGACUAACUACUGCGAAAGCAUUUGCCAAGGAUGUUUUCAUUAAUCAAGAACGAAAGUUAGGGGAUCGAAGACGAUCAGAUACCGUCGUAGUCUUAACCAUAAACUAUGCCGACUAGGGAUCGGACGAAGUUAAUUUUAUAAUGACGCGUUCGGCGCCUUACGGGAAAC